Molecule: small nuclear RNA, 104 nt
Organism: Phyllostomus discolor (pale spear-nosed bat)
Lineage: Eukaryota; Metazoa; Chordata; Mammalia; Chiroptera; Phyllostomidae
Source: RefSeq, a predicted model, not a curated record
GUGCUCACUUUGGCACCACAUACACUAAAAUUGGAAUGAUCCAGAAAUUAGGAUGGCCCCUGCACAAGGAUGACACACAAAUUUGCAAAGUAACACCUCAGUAG